Molecule: long non-coding RNA, 3368 nt
Organism: Dermochelys coriacea (leatherback sea turtle)
Lineage: Eukaryota; Metazoa; Chordata; Testudines; Dermochelyidae
Exons: 2
Source: RefSeq, a predicted model, not a curated record
ACAAGCCCACAGGCAAAAGAAAAGGAGAAUUAUGUAACAAAGACUGGCAUUGUAAAGGCAAUUUCAUAUUAGUUUGUUCCUUUAGUUCUCAACAACUGUUAGUCCACAUCACAUAACUAUGUAUUUCUGAGUUUGUUAGAACAUGUAUGGUUCCUCUGCAGGCAGUGCAGCUGCAGGUCACAUUCAAGAAAAGUCCCAAAUAAGAAAUGACAACCUUUUCCCCCCUCUCAUAUCUGUGAUUCUUAGCACACCUUACUGACUUGCAAUAAUGUACUUCAGAGUGCACUGAACUGGUUUUCAGAGCUACGUCAUGGCUAAAAAGUAACAGCCAAGCUAAGAGGAAACGUUUGUGUUAGAUUUGUUUGUUGUUUUAUUUAUGUUAAUUAUAAAGGCAAGCCCCAGGGAUAGCAUGAGUAUGAACAAUAUUCAGCCUCAGAUUUCAGAGUGACAGGUUUCAGAGUAGCAGCCGUGUUCGUCUGUAUUUGCGAAAAGAAAAGGAGUACUUGUGGCACCUUAGCGACUAACAAAUUUAUUUGAGCAUAAGCUUUCGUGAGCUACAGCUCACUUCAUCAGAUGCAUGGAAUGGAAAAUAUAGUAGGAAGACAGAUAUAGAUAUAUACACACACAGAGAGAACAUGAAAAGAGGGGUGUUCCCUUAUCAACUCUAACAAGACAAAUCAAUUAAGGUGGGCUAUUAUCAGCAGGAGAAAAAAAACUUUUGUAGUGAUAAUCAGGAUGGCCCAUUUCAAACAGUUGACAAGAAGGUGUGAGUAACAGUAGGGGGCGGGAAUUAGCAUGGGGAAAUAGUUUUUAGUUUGUGUAAUGACCCAUCCACUCCCAGUCUUUAUUCAAGCCUAAUUUUAUGAUGUCCAGUUUGCAGAUUAAUUCCAGUUCUUCAGUUUCUCAUUGGAGUCUGUUUUUUGAAGUUUUUUUGUUGAAGAGUUGCCACUUUUAGGUCUGUAAUCAAGUGUCCAGGGAGGUUGCAGUGUUAUCAGUGUGCACACUGUGAGGAGGUGGGUGUGAAUGUCACCUGUUUACAUCCAGGUGCUUCACUUCAAAAAGCAACAAAGAAAGGAAAAAUUAGAUAUUUUGUUUGUUUUAGUACUCUGCUGAAGAUUGCAGGAUCCAUCUUUUGUCACACAUAAUGCAAAAGGUAAGAAUGUGACACAGAAAGACUUAUUGGACUCUUUAGUAUGACAUUAGCAAUUACCAAAGUAAAGCGCCAAUAAACUUUUGGGAUGGCAUACAAAGAUGAAAUCCUGACACCUGCUCUAGCCCCUUUAGAUUGGAUAAAAGGGCUGGAGCAGCAUGAAGGUGCACUAAUGGUAUGUCUAUAUUGCAAUGUAAGCCCGGGCUCAAGGCAACACCCCCUUGCAUCUACACUGCAGUUGCACUAACCCAUGGUUCAUACCCAGAGUCCCAGGACCCUGUUGGGUCUGAGCUCAAGUCAAGCCAGGACUUAGGGGCUGAGCCUUAUUGCUUUGCAGUGUAGAUGAGGCCUCGGCUUGACUUAGCUCCUGGGAGUCAUUCGAAAGUAUCCACAGUUCCUUGGGGCAACUUCCUUAGUUCUCUCUAUGCCAACACUCUACAAUGGACUCUAUUAAAAACAGUGCUGCUUCUUGGUCAUGCAAGCACAGCCAAAUUUUGGUGAAUCUGUGGUGUGAGGCCAGUAAAACUGUGGACUUCAGCAAAAGCACCAGGAAUGACCACGCUUUCCCGCAGAUAGCUAAAAAUCUGGCAGCUCUGCAGAUUUUCCGGACAGAUGUUCAGUGCAGGAGUGAAUACAGGAAGCAAGUGAUAAAAUCAUACCUCAGAUAACUCACAGCAGCAUGCCUAUUUUAUGAUGACCUUGACUGGGUCCUAGGCACUGCCCCAGCACAGAGCUAACCUUGCUUCAUGAUGACCUGGUGAGCUGGGAUGGCCCUGAAUCAAGAAUGGGGAGUGAUAGGAGCCAGAGGCCAUGGGACUGAUGAGAUCCCAGCCAGAAUCAUGAAACGACACUUUUAAUGAAACCAGUCCCAGAGCAGGCUGUGGAUCAGGAUAAACAGCAAAUUCUCAGUCCCUGCUCAGAAGAGUUCUUUGAUCCAUGUCCCACAAUGAGGAAUAGCCAGCUGCUGAGCCUGCAGAGAACCCAGUGGGGACAGAAGCUGCCCCAGAACUGGUAAGUGCAUGAUUCAAAUAAAAAGUUUAUUAUUACAGUAAUGGAAGGGAUUUCUGCAUUAAGAGGCAAUGCAAAAAUGGUAAGCCCCAGCUCCCAGCGUUUGGCCACUAAUGGUGGAUUAUAUCACAGAGCCUAGGCAUCCCUUCCCUCUCUGUCUCCGUCUCCGUCUCCCCAACCCUCCACCAGUGGUAGUUCAAAAUGGCAACUUGAAAUUUCAAGCUUUCAUACACAGCUGUAAAGUUUAUUUUAACUAAGUCACAGAUGUUUCUUGUUUUCCUUUCAGUAAUUAGAAAUUUGCCACUCUGCAGUCACUUCUCCUGGGUAUAUACAGCUGCCUGUAAACAGUGAAGUGUUUCCAAAUCUAGUCCAUUGCAGAGGUAAUCCGUGCAGAGGUGGAGUAAAGCUGCAGAUUUCAGAGAGUUUUGCAUUCAUCAAUAACAAGGACCCUCAGCCUAUACUGCCUGCUGUUCUAAAUUCAGGAACUUGAUCCUUGGCCCAACAUGGACUCACAGACCAUUCCAAAAGGAAGUGUUCCCAUGAUGAAGUUAUGGUUGAUGUUCUUGAGAGGGCAGACCAGCAGGUACAGUUCCAGAAGAAGAAGGAUGAAAGACUGGAAUAAUGGCAUGCUGACAGGCAGGAGGCAAGGCUGAGGCUUGCCACCCAGAUGGAGAACAGGGUUUCAUCAAGGCAGCUGGUACUUGCAAAGCAGUUCCUGGAACAGGAUCAGUGGCUAGAGGAAGACAGAGCUCUGCGGAGAGAACUGUUUCAGCAACUCCUGUCUACAAUGGCUGCAAGAACACUGGCUCCUGCUGCCUCCCCAUAGCAUGAUGCCCCAGCAACAUACCCUCACCCAGCAGUAGCUUGGACAACUCCAUGUUGGGGCGGCCCGUGCAUUCAGGACUCUUGAGCAGCUGGGCAGAGCAGCUAAAUACUGUGCAGCUUCCCUUCCUUUCUUCCACCCCUCUUGGAUGGAAACUUCCAGCCCCACUCACAUUGCAAAGUGUGGGGUAAACGUGUAAAGAAGGGAAAGGAGAAUCUGGGACCAGGGGACAUGCAGCAGUGGGGGGAUCAGAUUGGGUAUUAACUCUUUCCUGACCUUUCUUUUUGGGUGUGUGGUUUUAUAAUGGCAGCUGGCUUGCACAAGACUGUGAGUGGUUUAGUGUUUUAAGAGCUGUUUACAUAUAAAGUAUGUUAUAUUUUCAAGAAA